Molecule: ribosomal RNA, 424 nt
Filed under: uncultured Romboutsia sp.
Lineage: Bacteria; Bacillati; Bacillota; Clostridia; Peptostreptococcales; Peptostreptococcaceae
Description: bacterial SSU rRNA
Rfam family: Bacterial small subunit ribosomal RNA
Source: RNAcentral
CCUACGGGUGGCAGCAGUGGGGAAUAUUGCACAAUGGGCGCAAGCCUGAUGCAGCCAUGCCGCGUGUAUGAAGAAGGCCUUCGGGUUGUAAAGUACUUUCAGCGGGGAGGAAGGGAGUAAAGUUAAUACCUUUGCUCAUUGACGUUACCCGCAGAAGAAGCACCGGCUAACUCCGUGCCAGCAGCCGCGGUAAUACGUAUGUCGCAAGCGUUAUCCGGAUUUAUUGGGCGUAAAGCGUGCGCAGGCGGUUGGGUAAGACAGAUGUGAAAUCCCCGGGCUCAACCUGGGAACUGCAUCUGAUACUGGCAAGCUUGAGUCUCGUAGAGGGGGGUAGAAUUCCAGGUGUAGCGGUGAAAUGCGUAGAGAUCUGGAGGAAUACCGGUGGCGAAGGCGGCCCCCUGGACGAAGACUGACGCUCAGGUGC